CUAAAAUCUGCUCUGGAGUUCAGAAGGUGAUAGGAGCCUGUUUCUGGGAAACAGAAGAGGGUUGGAGAUGUAACUGGGGAGUAUGUCAGUGGCUUGGAAUCAUCAGCCAUGUGCAAAACAAGAAGAUAAAGAAUGAGGCUUUCAUGCUGUUAUUGUUACACCUUGUGUUUGCUGCUGUUCCCACCAGCACCUGGAACAAGCUCAGUUGCCUUUUUCUUUGCUACACCCUGAUACUCAAAGAUGGCAAACAAGCGAAAAGACUGAAGAUGAUAUUGGGUUGAAGAAAUCAAGGUUUACGUUUAAAUGACUCUUUAAAUGACAACUCUUUUCAUACACACUGUGCACGUGGUAGAAGAGAAUUGGCAAGAUCACAUCAUUUGGUCUGAAGUGAAUGAAUGAGGGAGAUCCAGACCUCCAUGGGAAAGCAUCAUGAGUAAACCUUCAGAACGAAGUACUCUGGUUAAAUCAAGUACUAAGGUUUAUGGACGAAAUGCUGAGCAAUGAAAGAAAGUAGAACAAUCAGCCAUACCACAUAGCUUCAUUGUGGAAAGGACAGCUUUCUGUGAUCUUUUCCUUUCUUCAUGCAUGUUCACGCAGCUCAAAAUUCACAACUAAGAAAGUUAGAUAAAGGAAAACUUGAAGGGGUUAAGGCAGCUAUAAAAAGACUAUUCAGCACAUACUGUGCAACUGUGAAUUCCUUUAUGCUAUUUUGUGAUUGAGACAAUGAGAUGUAAACUUUCUUAAUGAACCCAACGCAUAUUUAGACAAAAGAUAAUUAAACUGUUGGUGUAAGCUGCUGCUAUAGAACUCUUUGUUGACUCAGUAGUCUAAGAUGAAAAAUUCUGUACCAUUGUUAUGCUAGAUGUAAGGAAAAGGAAUAAAUACACUGAUACAGUAAUAGGACCCACUGGUAUAGUAUAUCUAGUAAUUCAAUGUCAAUGUUUCUAUAGUCAUGAUUGCAGUGAAUUGUAUCAUGUCCCCCUCAAAAGAUACAGUCUUACCCCUAGUUCUUGUCAGUGUGACUUUAUGUUGAAAUAGGCUAUUUGCAGAUGUAAUCAAGUUAAGAUGAGAUCAUUAAGGUGGGUCUUAAUCCAACAUGACUCACAUCUUUAUAAGAGAAGAGGUACAGAUAGACAUGAAGGAAGAAUAUCAUGUGAUGAGAGAGGCAGAGAUUGGAGUGAUGUGUCUACAAGCAAGAAAUGCAAACAUUCUGGCAACACCAGAAGCUAAAAGAAAGGCAAACGAUGAAUUCUCCCCUAAGGCAUAUAGAGAGAGCAUGUCCAUGCCAAAACUUUGAUUUCAGCAUUCAAGCCUUCAGAACUGUGGGAAAAUAUAUUUCUGUUGUUUUAAGUUUUUUGGUUUGUGUACCUUGUUAGACACAUUAGGCAAUGUGGAAACCAGACUAAUGAACUCAAAUCCAAAAUAGAACACAAAGAAAAUAUAAUAAUAAAAAGCAUGAAUGAAGUAGAAGAGGAAGAGAAGGAGGAGGAAGAAGGAGGAGGGAGUAAGAGUGAUCUGUGGUAUGACGUCAAGUGAACAAAUAUAUGUGCAGAUGGGCUCAUGAAAGAGCAAAGAGGGAGGGAUAGAUCCUUAAUCCUAACAAUGACUUCAGUUCUGGGUCAGUGUUGAUGGCAUAGUUUAUGUUUUCUUAUGGGCUGUAUUUUCCUGCUUCAUUUUGUAGUUC
This is a long non-coding RNA of Sciurus carolinensis (gray squirrel), 1684 nucleotides long. RefSeq lists it as uncharacterized. NCBI's taxonomy places the organism in Eukaryota, Metazoa, Chordata, Mammalia, Rodentia, Sciuridae. The record is from RefSeq and is a predicted model, not a curated record. The transcript has 3 exons.